AUUCGUACGGGAGGCAGCAGUGGGGAAUAUUGGACAAUGGGCGAAAGCCUGAUCUAGCCAUGCCGCGUGAGUGAUGAAGGCCCUAGGGUUGUAAAGCUCUUUUACUCGGGAAGAUAAUGACGGUACCGAGAGAAUAAGCCCCGGCUAACUUCGUGCCAGCAGCCGCGGUAAUACGAAGGGGGCGAGCGUUGUUCGGAUUUACUGGGCGUAAAGCGCUCGUAGGCGGAUCUUUAAGUCAGGGGUGAAAUCCCGGAGCUCAAUUCCGGAACUGCCUUUGAUACUGGGGAUCUCGAGUCCGGGAGAGGUGAGUGGAACUGCGAGUGUAGAGGUGAAAUUCGUAGAUAUUCGCAAGAACACCAGUGGCGAAGGCGGCUCACUGGCCCGGUACCGACGCUGAGGAGCGAAAGCGUGGGGAGCAAACAGGAUUAGAUACCCUGGUAGUCCACGCCGUAAACGAUGGAUGCUAGCCGUUAGGCAGCUUGCUGCUUAGUGGCGCAGCUAACGCAUUAAGCAUCCCGCCUGGGGAGUCCGGUCGCAAGAUUAAAACUCAAAGGAAUGACGGAAU
This 565-nucleotide ribosomal RNA is filed under the name uncultured bacterium. RNAcentral's name for it is "bacterial SSU rRNA". It matches the Rfam family "Bacterial small subunit ribosomal RNA", at positions 335 to 919 of the family's 1533-position model. The record is from RNAcentral.